This 301-nucleotide ribosomal RNA is filed under the name uncultured bacterium. RNAcentral's name for it is "partial 16S ribosomal RNA". It matches the Rfam family "Bacterial small subunit ribosomal RNA", at positions 509 to 807 of the family's 1533-position model. The record is from RNAcentral.
CAGCCGCCGCGGGAAUACGGAGGGAGCUAGCGUUGUUCGGAAUCACUGGGCGUAAAGCGCACGUAGGCGGCUAUUCAAGUCAGGGGUGAAAGCCCGGGGCUCAACCCCGGAACUGCCUUUGAAACUAGAUAGCUUGAAUCUUGGAGAGGCGAGUGGAAUUCCGAGUGUAGAGGUGAAAUUCGUAGAUAUUCGGAAGAACACCAGUGGCGAAGGCGACUCUCUGGUCUGAAACUGACGCUGAGGAGCGAAAGCGUGGGGAGCGAACAGGAUUAGAUACCCGAGUAGUCCCUGUCUCUUAUAC